Long non-coding RNA from Calidris pugnax (ruff), 1502 nucleotides. RefSeq lists it as uncharacterized. Lineage: Eukaryota; Metazoa; Chordata; Aves; Charadriiformes; Scolopacidae. The record is from RefSeq and is a predicted model, not a curated record. The transcript is spliced from 2 exons.
CUCCCCCGGGCACAGCGCCCGCUUCUUCGACUUCCUGACGGCGCAGCUGGGCCUCGGCACCGAGCGGAUUGUCAUCCGCUUCUACCCACUGGAGCCCUGGCAGAUCGGCAAGAACAGAACAGUCAUGACGUUCCUAUGAUCCCUGGAGCAGCCGGUUGGAACAAAGCAAUGAUGAAGAUAACCCAGAGAUGACCAGCUCCAUUUACUUUUUUCCUCUUAUGAUCAAAUCUGUGUAGCUCUGCACCUUCACUUGUAUGAUUCACUUUUGUCUUUGCAUCACAUGCGUACGAAGUUCAAGUGGGGCAAUCUUCUGUACUGAUUUUACUAAAACAGUUCGAGUCUUUGUCUCAAGUCUGUCUCGCAGCCCAAAGGUUCUCCUGGUGCCUGUGGCUAAGCCAUUGCAAUCUGCUGGUGGCCAUAUGUGGGCCUUGAAAAAGCUGUCUUGUAGCAGCAGGAAGUUUAAUUCCAGAACACAUUUGGCUUUAUUGAGGACCAGAGAGGUUCUUGGGUUCUUCCAGUUUUCCUCAUACUUUGCAAAGCAGGAGGAUCCUUUCUUCUGUUUCCUGGUGGUAGCAGAAGAGUCCCAGGCUGGCUAAGUAGAACUGGGAGUCAAAUCCUUCUCUUUUCAAGCUCCCCGAAAGCCCUUUCUGGAAAGAGAGGUGAUUACUGGGAGGGGAGUUUAUGCUUUUAUAUAAUUGUUUAUUUAAGGCUCAUGUCAGAUCCUGUGCUCUGUGCUCUACCAUUGCUACCCUUGGUGGCUGCUUCUGCCAAGUGUUAGUCCCCAAGAUCUUCACGGCUGAAUGUUUGUGUGCUGAUGGCAACGAGUAGAGGAGGGAGCUGCUUGUGAAGAAUUGCACUGUGCCACAGGAAAAUACUUUGAAGGUUCUGCUACUGCCAGCUUUAAUUCCUGUUAUUUGCCCAGUUGUUCAAAAUACUUUUACUCCCCCCACUGUUACAGAGAGUUUUGAGCUAAUACAGCAUCUCACUGUGUGCUAUGGAUGGACUUUUCAGCUCACUGUCCCAGCGGGGAAGUGGUUUGGGUUUUAGGCCCCAUAUGCUCCCUCACUUUAUAACUGGAAUACACAUGGCAUUGUAUUUAAACAAAAGUGCGGUACUUUUAAUGUAUAAUGUUAUCUCUGUCUUCCACUGAUCCUGAAAACCUCAGUUUCUUUUCCACUUUGUGACUCGGUCAGGUCACAGAAGGAGCUCAGAGGAUCUGCAAGCGUGCUCUUGGGACACGGAGGUCCAUGGGAAGGCAAGGGUGCUCCUUUGUCAUUCAGGGUGGAGUGCUAUUUGGUUAUGACUUGAGGUCUCAAGAUAGUUGAAAAUAUUCCUUCUAGUUACCAUUUGAAGUUGGUUGUUCCCUCUGCAUAAUAAACAUUUUCUGUGUUUUCAAAAUCUGUCAGCACUAUAAUACCAAACACAAAUUUGUGUAUCAGGCAAGGAGGGCUACACAUUACCUAGUUAAUAAAAUUUAUUAAAGCCUCUUCUGAUAAGCAUCA